RNAcentral lists this ribosomal RNA (1209 nucleotides) under Triticum aestivum (bread wheat). Its description in RNAcentral is "partial small subunit ribosomal RNA". Lineage: Eukaryota; Viridiplantae; Streptophyta; Magnoliopsida; Poales; Poaceae. The record is from RNAcentral.
AUGAGACCGACGCGUGGGGCCCACUCCAGAGCACCCACGAAAAUCUUCUCCCGCACCAACGCGUUCCCCUUUACCUCGCCGCCGGCGCCACCGCGCCGUCGCGCAGCCAUGCUCCGUCUCCGCCUCCGAUGCCACGCCCUCUCCCAGCUCCUCUCGUCCCCAUCCUCGUCUCCCAUCUCCCAGCUCCUCGGCUACCACAGCCGCCUCCUCUCAGCGGCCGCGCCCGUCGUCUCCCCAAACCCUAGCUUCGCCGUCGAGGAUUACCUCGUCUCCACCUGCGGCCUCACCCGAGCGCAGGCCGCCAAGGCCUCCGCCAAGCUCUCCCACCUCAAGUCCCCCGCCAGGCCCGACGCCGUCCUCGCCUUCCUCGCCGGCCUCGGCCUCUCCGGCGCCGACGUGGCCGCCCUCGUCGCCAGGGACCCCCGGUUCCUCUGCGCCGGCGUGGAGACAAUACUGGCUCCCAACUUCGCCGGCUUAACCGGCCUCGGUCUCUCGCGUUCUGACAUCACGCGCCUCCUCUCGGUUGCCGGCAUACACUUCCGCUGCAGAUCCAUCGUCACCAAUCUACACUACCACCUGUCCCUCUUCGGCUCCACCGACAACUUCCUCCGUGCUCUCAAGCGCAACGGAUCCUGCAUUCUCUCGUCCGACCUCGACAGGGUGAUCAAGCCCAAUGUCGCGCUUCUGCGAGAGUUUGGGAUUGGUCCUUGUGAUAUUGCCAAGCUGUGUGCCGCUCAGCCAUGGUUGCUCACCUGCAAUGUAGAGCGUAUCCGGGCGAUGGCGGUGAGCGUCGAAGGUCUGGGUGUGCCCCGUGGAUCUGGGAUGUUUAGGCAUGCGCUGAAUGCUGUUGCUUUCGUCAGCGAGGAGAAAAUCGCCGCCAAAGUGGAGCAUUUGAAGAAAACGUUCAGGUGGUCGGAUGUUGAGGUGGGCAUUGCUAUUUCUAGGGCUCCAAAUGUGCUGAACAAGACUAAGGAGUUUCUGCAGAGAAGCCUGGAGGGCCGGGUAAGGCCCCGGAGCUACGUUGUGAAGUUUCUCAAGGCAAAUGGAUUGCUAGAUCCCGACCGGGACUUGUAUUCCGUGCUUGUACUGUCUGAGAAGGUAUUCAUGGAGAAGUACAUAUGCCCUCACAAGGAAGCUGCACCGUGCCUCGCUGGAGACUAUGCUGAUGCUUGCAAAGGGCUACUGCCGACUAAUUUCAGAUUUACAUGA